GAUGAACGCUGGCGGCGUGCCUAAUACAUGCAAGUCGAGCGAACAGACGAGGAGCUUGCUCCUCUGACGUUAGCGGCGGACGGGUGAGUAACACGUGGAUAACCUACCUAUAAGACUGGGAUAACCUCGGGAAACCGGAGCUAAUACCGGAUAAUAUAUUGAACCGCAUGGUUCAAUAGUGAAAGACGGUUUUGCUGUCACUUAUAGAUGGAUCCGCGCCGCAUUAGCUAGUUGGUAAGGUAACGGCUUACCAAGGCAACGAUGCGUAGCCGACCUGAGAGGGCGAUCGGCCACACUGGAACUGAGACACGGUCCAGACUCCUACGGGAGGCAGCAGUAGGGAAUCUUCCGCAAUGGGCGAAAGCCUGACGGAGCAACGCCGCGUGAGUGAUGAAGGUCUUCGGAUCGUAAAACUCUGUUAUUAGGGAAGAACAAAUGUGUAAGUAACUAUGCACGUCUUGACGGUACCUAAUCAGAAAGCCACGGCUAACUACGUG
Molecule: ribosomal RNA, 497 nt
Filed under: uncultured bacterium
Lineage: Bacteria
Description: partial 16S ribosomal RNA
Rfam family: Bacterial small subunit ribosomal RNA
Source: RNAcentral